Molecule: ribosomal RNA, 468 nt
Filed under: uncultured bacterium
Lineage: Bacteria
Description: partial 16S ribosomal RNA
Rfam family: Bacterial small subunit ribosomal RNA
Source: RNAcentral
GACGAACGCUGGCGGCGUGCUUAACACAUGCAAGUCGAACGGAAAGGCCCUGCUUUUGUGGGGUGCUCGAGUGGCGAACGGGUGAGUAACACGUGAGUAACCUACCCUUGACUUUGGGAUAACUUCAGGAAACUGGGGCUAAUACCGGAUAGGAGCUCCUGCUGCAUGGGGGGGGUUGGAAAGUUUCGGCGGUUGGGGAUGGACUCGCGGCUUAUCAGCUUGUUGGUGGGGUAGUGGCUUACCAAGGCUUUGACGGGUAGCCGGCCUGAGAGGGUGACCGGCCACAUUGGGACUGAGAUACGGCCCAGACUCCUACGGGAGGCAGCAGUGGGGAAUAUUGCACAAUGGGCGGAAGCCUGAUGCAGCAACGCCGCGUGCGGGAUGACGGCCUUCGGGUUGUAAACCGCUUUCGCCUGUGACGAAGCGUGAGUGACGGUAAUGGGUAAAGAAGCACCGGCUAACUACGUG